This 301-nucleotide ribosomal RNA is filed under the name uncultured bacterium. Its description in RNAcentral is "partial 16S ribosomal RNA". It matches the Rfam family "Bacterial small subunit ribosomal RNA", at positions 509 to 807 of the family's 1533-position model. The record is from RNAcentral.
CAGCCGCCGCGGGAAAACGGAGGGGGCUAGCGUUGUUCGGAAUUACUGGGCGUAAAGCGCACGUAGGCGGCUUGGUAAGUUAGAGGUGAAAGCCCGGAGCUCAACUCCGGAAUUGCCUUUAAGACUGCCGAGCUAGCAGGUGAGAGAGGUAAGUGGAAUUCCGAGUGUAGAGGUGAAAUUCGUAGAUAUUCGGAAGAACACCAGUGGCGAAGGCGGCUUACUGGCUCAUACUGGACGCUGAGGUGCGAAAGCGUGGGGAGCAAACAGGAUUAGAUGCCCCAGUAGUCCCUGUCUCUUAUAC